GAUGAACGCUGGCGGCGUGCCUAAUACAUGCAAGUCGAGCGAACGGACGAGAAGCUUGCUUCUCUGAUGUUAGCGGCGGACGGGUGAGUAACACGUGGAUAACCUACCUAUAAGACUGGGAUAACUUCGGGAAACCGGAGCUAAUACCGGAUAAUAUUUUGAACCGCAUGGUUCAAAAGUGAAAGACGGUCUUGCUGUCACUUAUAGAUGGAUCCGCGCUGCAUUAGCUAGUUGGUAAGGUAACGGCUUACCAAGGCAACGAUGCAUAGCCGACCUGAGAGGGUGAUCGGCCACACUGGAACUGAGACACGGUCCAGACUCCUACGGGAGGCAGCAGUAGGGAAUCUUCCGCAAUGGGCGAAAGCCUGACGGAGCAACGCCGCGUGAGUGAUGAAGGUCUUCGGAUCGUAAAACUCUGUUAUUAGGGAAGAACAUAUGUGUAAGUAACUGUGCACAUCUUGACGGUACCUAAUCAGAAAGCCACGGCUAACUACGUGCCAGCAGCCGCGGUAAUACGUAGGUGGCAAGCGUUAUCCGGAAUUAUUGGGCGUAAAGCGCGCGUAGGCGGUUUUUUAAGUCUGAUGUGAAAGCCCACGGCUCACCGUGGAGGGUCAUUGGAAACUGGAAAACUUGAGUGCAGAAGAGGAAAGUGGAAUUCCAUGUGUAGCGGUGAAAUGCGCAGAGAUAUGGAGGAACACCAGUGGCGAAGGCGACUUUCUGGUCUGUAACUGACGCUGAUGUGCGAAAGCGUGGGGAUCAAACAGGAUUAGAUACCCUGGUAGUCCACGCCGUAAACGAUGAGUGCUAAGUGUUAGGGGGUUUCCGCCCCCUUAGUGCUGCAGCUAACGCAUUAAGCACUCCGCCUGGGGAGUACGACCGCAAGGUUGAAACUCAAAGGAAUUGACGGGGACCCGCACAAGCGGUGGAGCAUGUGGUUUAAUUCGAAGCAACGCGAAGAACCUUACCAAAUCUUGACAUCCUUUGACAACUCUAGAGAUAGAGCUUUCCCCUUCGGGGGACAAAGUGACAGGUGGUGCAUGGUUGUCGUCAGCUCGUGUCGUGAGAUGUUGGGUUAAGUCCCGCAACGAGCGCAACCCUUAAGCUUAGUUGCCAUCAUUAAGUUGGGCACUCUAAGUUGACUGCCGGUGACAAACCGGAGGAAGGUGGGGAUGACGUCAAAUCAUCAUGCCCCUUAUGAUUUGGGCUACACACGUGCUACAAUGGACAAUACAAAGGGCAGCGAAACCGCGAGGUCAAGCAAAUCCCAUAAAGUUGUUCUCAGUUCGGAUUGUAGUCUGCAACUCGACUACAUGAAGCUGGAAUCGCUAGUAAUCGUAGAUCAGCAUGCUACGGUGAAUACGUUCCCGGGUCU
This 1372-nucleotide ribosomal RNA is filed under the name uncultured bacterium. RNAcentral describes it as "bacterial SSU rRNA". It matches the Rfam family "Bacterial small subunit ribosomal RNA", at positions 28 to 1381 of the family's 1533-position model. The record is from RNAcentral.